RNAcentral lists this ribosomal RNA (496 nucleotides) under uncultured bacterium. RNAcentral describes it as "partial 16S ribosomal RNA". It matches the Rfam family "Bacterial small subunit ribosomal RNA", at positions 28 to 506 of the family's 1533-position model. The record is from RNAcentral.
GAUGAACGCUGGCGGCGUGCCUAAUACAUGCAAGUCGAGCGAACGGACGAGAAGCUUGCUUCUCUGAUGUUAGCGGCGGACGGGUGAGUAACACGUGGAUAACCUACCUAUAAGACUGGGAUAACUUCGGGAAACCGGAGCUAAUACCGGAUAAUAUUUUGAACCGCAUGGUUCAAAAGUGAAAGACGGUCUUGCUGUCACUUAUAGAUGGAUCCGCGCUGCAUUAGCUAGUUGGUAAGGUAACGGCUUACCAAGGCAACGAUGCAUAGCCGACCUGAGAGGGUGAUCGGCCACACUGGAACUGAGACGCGGUCCAGACUCCUACGGGAGGCAGCAGCAGGGAAUCGUCCGCAAUGGGCGAAAGCCUGACGGAGGAACGCCGCGUGAGUGAUGAAGGUCUGCGGAUCGUAAAACGCUGUUAUUAGGGAAGAACAUAUGUGUAAGUAACUGUGCACAUCUUGACGGUACCGAAUCAGAAAGCCACGGCUAACUACGG